Molecule: long non-coding RNA, 2999 nt
Filed under: Homo sapiens (human)
Lineage: Eukaryota; Metazoa; Chordata; Mammalia; Primates; Hominidae
Description: NR2F1 regulatory antisense RNA 1
Source: RNAcentral
GGACGGGAGCCGCUCCCGGGCGGCACACAGCCGAGUCCCUCCUCCCCUCCCCGCAGGCAGCCUGUGCCUUUUCUCCAAACGAAGACAGCACUUUGAAAAUUCUUUCAAUGGAUUUUUUUUUCCUUGAAAGAUCGUACUGGGGGAAAAUGAUACUUCUAUUAGUUACAUAUUCUCCAAUCGCAUACUCGCACCCCCCUCGUUUUGAGAUCGCUCCCCUAGGCAGGCUCAGGCGGGCGCGGAGCCGCGCGGAGUGACAAAGCCGCCGCUGCCGCCGCCGGGGGUGGGAGCCGCGCUCGCCCGCCCGCCCCUCGACUCGCGAGGGCGUAAAAGUUUGUCUCAGCUCGAGCAUUCCUAGCGCCAACACGCCCUCAGGUAAAGGUGGAAGUAAAUGGCCACGCUGUAUUGACAGAGCAGGUAGAUGAAACUCAAGAGAAAAGGUGUGGAUAAAUGAAACUAGCCCAUGAUGAACCUGUUUUCUCCGUGACCACAAUAUUAACCAGGAUGAAUGGCGGUGGCAGUGGGCCUGCAUCACAGGUUGCAGCAGAUGUUCUCAAUAUUUCUAUUAAAAUUUCCUUAUUUCCAUAUGCAAGAGGAGCCCCAGAGCUGCAUCCUUAUGGUAGCUACCAUGCCGUGAUGUAAGCUGCCAUUCACUGGGGAGCUUUGGCAAUAGAAUUGGCUAGAUCAGGAAGCCUAUGUCAACUAUGGAACAACAACUUGCAGCUCAUCUCUAUUGAUGGUGAAACAGUCGCAAAUGGAAUUCCAAGAAACAUUCUAUCAUCAGGUAUUAUCUACUGCUGUCUGCAGAAUUCAGACAUGGAGGGCUCAAUGGUGUCCCCUGGUCUUUGGAACAUUCUGUAUUUUAAUGAUCAUGAUACACUGCCUCUAGGACUGGGACAGAUAGCCACUGAGUACCUGCUUCAAAUCACCCUGCACGUUUUCUCUUUGGAAAGAUAAGCACUGGAGAACCAUCUCGUUACCUUCAGCAGAAAUGGAAACAAAUCAAGACAUUAAGAAUGCCGCAGUGGACAGCAGUUAUGCAAGGUUCAGCAGAGGAAGUUUUCAAGAUGGUGUGCCUCACUAGCCAGAAAUCAGAAAAGAUCGAAGCUAGCCUUUUCAUCUCAGCUGCUCCUUAAAUCAGUGCAACCCCUCCAAAUUAAUGUGAAUUGAAACUUGCAUUGCUUUUCAACUUAAUUGAAUACUUACUAUAUGUGAACCACUGCACAAAAUAGGGGAAGAAGAUGUGGGAGACAAAGAUGUGGAGCCUGUCUUCAAUAAAUUUACAGUUAGUUUCAGGGUACAUUGUUUUUCUUCUGCUGUUAAUUAGGUGUAUCCCCAAGACAAUAAAUACAUGAAUGGAAAAGUAUAUUCUGUGUUUUAAGUCUCUUUAAUAAAAAACAAAACAAAAUCCAAAAAAACUCCUAACAUGGCAACUCAGGACAUUUUAAUCCUUUUUUUUGUUGUUGGGCUUCUGAUAGGAUCCAUUUUAUUGAUUCCAUAAAUAUUUAGUAGACUUUAGACAUAUUAAUACAUUGUAGUUUGAGUUAAUUUGCAUUAAAUUCUGUUUUUUUCCCCUUAGGUAUAGAUUGUCUGUUGGAAAAAUAUAUUGCUUGUGGAUUUCUUGGGGAGUGGGAAGGUGAAUUAUACCUGUUGUCUCUACAGUCCACUACCUUCCACACCCUAGGGCAGUGGUCCCCAACCUUCUUGGCACCAGGGAUCAGUUUCCUGGAAGACAAUUUUUCUGUGGAUGGUGUGGGGAUGGUUUUGGGAUGGAACUGUUCCACCUCAGAUCAUCAGGCAUUAGUUAGGCUCUCAUAACGAGUGCGCAGCCUAGAUCCCUCACAUGCACAGUUCACAGUAGGGUUUGCGCUGCUAUGAGAAUCUAAGGCUGCCACUGAUCUGACAGGAGGCAGAACUCAGGUGGCAAUGCUUACUGGCCCACUGCUCACCUCUUGCUGUGCGGCCUGGUUCCUAAUAGGCCAUGGACCCCCACAGACGGGUACUAGUCUGCAGCCUGUGGACCCCAGCCCUAGGGGCCUGCCAUUCUGAGUGAGUUAUUAGCAUGAAGAAGAGGAAGAUCUGGAUCAAACGUGGGUGAUGGUACUCAGAGACCCAAGAUAGGAUAGGGAUGGAACAAAAUCCAUCUGGGCAACGGCUCUAUGAAAAUUUGGCUAAGUAAUUAUUUCAGUAUUCAUUGUAUUCAUUGUCCUUCGUGUUCCAUAAGUUAAAUGACUGUCUAAUUUUUCCAAAAAUUUAUUUCUGACUUGAGAAUAAGUGUGUCAUGAUUUUCCCAGUGUAAAGACACUGAUAUAACUGUAGAUACCAGACAUUUUAUGUAGUGUCUAUGACACAUUUUAGUAUGUAUGAGCCAACAAUAGACAUGUCUUUGUCUUGAGGAGUGUCCAUCUGAAUUGAAAAUGUGUCAGCUUUUUUUUAACAUCAUCAACAGACUUCUUAAUUAAGCUGCCAAUACAUACUGCCAAUAGCACUGUGUGCUGUCUGAGAAAUGCAUUGUGUAAGUGCUAUUUCCAUCUUAUUAAAUAAACAAUGUUGCUCUGUAUAAACUGGAUUUAAAGUGUUCUUUGAAUGAGGCAUUAUAUUGCUCCAUAAAUAAUGUGAUGUGAAUUCUCAUAUGAUCCCUUUUAACUUAAUUUCUAAAAAAAUAUUAUUUGCUCCUCAGUAAGGAAUAGCUCUAAUUGGACUGGUAACUUUAGUGAUAUGAUUUGUCUGUAACAGGCUGAAUCGCCCCACUCCCAAACUCCUGGUCGUGAUACUGGAUAUUUGUUAUGCCACUUUUAGUUUGCAUGAGGUAUCUUCCAGGAAGUAUUAGUUAUUAACUUGUGUUCUACUAAACUGUAGAUAUUUAUUUCCUGUUCUGGAAGAUUUCUUGGAGUGUCCAUCUGUGCAUUCCUGGUGCCUAGUGUAGUCUUGCUAAUGGAAUAGCACCUUUAUUGGUGCUACUUAGGGGUUGGUAGCUUACAAUCAAUCUACUUGGAACGUAU